UGGGGAAUUUUGCACAAUGGAGGAAACUCUGAUGCAGCGACGCCGCGUGAGUGAUGAAGAUCUUCGGAUUGUAAAACUCUGUCCUUAGUGAAGAUAAUGACAGUAACUAAGAAGCAAGCCCUGGCUAAAUACGUGCCAGCAGCCGCGGUAAUACGUAUGGGGCAAGCGUUGUCCGGAAUUAUUGGGCGUAAAGGGUACGUAGGCGGUUUAAUAAGUCCUAAUUAAAAGGCUAUGGCUCAACCAUAGUAUGGUUAGGAAACUGUUGAACUUGAGUAGAUGAGGGGAAAGUGGAAUUCCAUGUGGAGCGGUGAAAUGGGUAGAUAUAUGGGGGAACACCAAUGGCGAAGGCAACUUUCUGGAAUCAAAAUGACGAUGAGGCAAGAAGGCGUGGGGAGGAAACAGG
This 403-nucleotide ribosomal RNA is filed under the name Fusobacteriota bacterium. RNAcentral's name for it is "Fusobacteria bacterium partial 16S ribosomal RNA". It matches the Rfam family "Bacterial small subunit ribosomal RNA", at positions 355 to 776 of the family's 1533-position model. Lineage: Bacteria; Fusobacteriati; Fusobacteriota. The record is from RNAcentral.